CCUACGGGUGGCAGCAGUGAGGAAUAUUGGUCAAUGGACGGAAGUCUGAACCAGCCAUGCCGCGUGCAGGAAGACGGCUCUAUGAGUUGUAAACUGCUUUUGUACAAGGGUAAACCUGAAUACGUGUAUUCAGCUGAAAGUACUGUACGAAUAAGGAUCGGCUAACUCCGUGCCAGCAGCCGCGGUAAUACGGAGGAUCCAAGCGUUAUCUGGAUUUAUUGGGUUUAAAGGGUGCGUAGGCGGAUUGAUAAGUUAGAGGUGAAAUGUCCGAGCUUAACUCGGGAACUGCCUCUAAUACUGGUGGUCUAGAGGGUAGGUGCGGUAGGCGGAAUGUAUGGUGUAGCGGUGAAAUGCUUAGAGAUCAUACAGAACACCGAUUGCGAAGGCAGCUUACCAAUCUAUAUCUGACGUUGAGGCACGAAAGCGUGGGGAGCAAACAGGAUUAGAUACCCGUGUAGUC
RNAcentral lists this ribosomal RNA (460 nucleotides) under uncultured bacterium. RNAcentral's name for it is "partial 16S ribosomal RNA". It matches the Rfam family "Bacterial small subunit ribosomal RNA", at positions 338 to 795 of the family's 1533-position model. The record is from RNAcentral.